RNAcentral lists this ribosomal RNA (468 nucleotides) under uncultured bacterium. RNAcentral describes it as "partial 16S ribosomal RNA". It matches the Rfam family "Bacterial small subunit ribosomal RNA", at positions 28 to 507 of the family's 1533-position model. The record is from RNAcentral.
GACGAACGCUGGCGGCGUGCUUAACACAUGCAAGUCGAACGGAAAGGCCCUGCAUCUGUGGGGUGCUCGAGUGGCGAACGGGUGAGUAACACGUGAGUAACCUGCCCUUGACUUUGGGAUAACUUCAGGAAACUGGGGCUAAUACCGGAUAGGAGCUCCUGCUGCAUGGUGGGGGUUGGAAAGUUUCGGCGGUUGGGGAUGGACUCGCGGCGUAUCAGCCUGUUGGUGGGGUAGUGGCUUGCCCAGGCUUUGACGGAUAGCCGGCAUGAGUGGGUGACCGGCCAGAUUGGGAGUGAGAUACGGCCCGGACUAAUUCGGGAGGCAGCAGUGGGGAAUAAUGCACGAUGGGCGGAGGACUGAUGCAGCAACGCCGCGGGCGGGAUGACGGCCUUCGAGUUGUAAACCGCUUUCGCCUGUGACGAAGGGUGAGUGACGGUAAUGGGUAAAGAGGCACCGGCUAACUACGUG